Molecule: ribosomal RNA, 137 nt
Filed under: uncultured eukaryote
Lineage: Eukaryota
Description: partial 18S ribosomal RNA
Rfam family: Eukaryotic small subunit ribosomal RNA
Source: RNAcentral
UGGUGGAGUGAUUUGUCUGGUUAAUUCCGUUAACGAACGAGACCUCAGCCUACUAAAUAGUCGCUCCUAUCCUGAAUAGGUGAAGACUUCUUAGAGGGACUUUGCAAGCAACUGCAAGGAAGUUUGAGGCAAUAACA